This 497-nucleotide ribosomal RNA is filed under the name uncultured bacterium. Its description in RNAcentral is "partial 16S ribosomal RNA". It matches the Rfam family "Bacterial small subunit ribosomal RNA", at positions 28 to 507 of the family's 1533-position model. The record is from RNAcentral.
GAUGAACGCUGGCGGCGUGCCUAAUACAUGCAAGUCGAGCGAACAGACGAGGAGCUUGCUCCUCUGACGUUAGCGGCGGACGGGUGAGUAACACGUGGAUACCCUACCUAUCAGACUGGGAUAACUUCGGGAAACCGGAGCUAAUACCGGAUAAUAUAUUGAACCGCAUGGUUCAAUAGUGAAAGACGGUUUUGCUGUCACUUAUAGAUGGAUCCGCGCCGCAUUAGCUAGUUGGUAAGGUAACGGCUUACCAAGGCGACGAUGCGUAGCCGACCUGAGAGGGUGAUCGGCCACACUGGAACUGAGACACGGUCCAGACUACUACGGGAGGCAGCAGUAGGGAAUAUUCCGCAAUGGGCGAAAGCCUGACGGAGCAACGCCGCGUGAGUGAUGAAGGUCUUCGGAUCGUAAAACUCUGUUAUUAGGGAAGAACAAAUGUGUAAGUAACUAUGCACGUCUUGACGGUACCUAAUCAGAAAGCCACGGCUAACUACGUG